GAUGUGUUUGAGACUUAAAGAAACUUGUUCUAGUAGGGUAAUGAUAGUACAGUGGAUGUCUCUUAGAGUAAAUAUCUUUUUACACUUAUAGAUCUGGAUAGAAUUUGAAAGUUUUACUCUUUUAUCAGAUCAUUUCACUCAUGCAACUUAUCGAAUUUACAAUAAACUAUUCAAGCCUUGUUUAAAUGUGUUUCUGUGCUAGAAAAAGUAUACUUAUGUGACACUUCCAUGGAUCAAAUCGUGUGAAUGGCACGGUAAAGAACAAACACAUUCCAAGCUAGAGCUCCAGAUCUGCCUUAAAUUUCAGUAAUGGCCUUCAAUCACAUUUUCUAGAAAACUGGUGAUAUGUGAUUCUAAGUUGGUCCCACUUAUUUUGAUUAUCUUAGUUUAGCUGUAAUAUAGAACUCGAAGAGCUGUUAUUAUUAUUCCUUGAACUGCAGGUGUUUUGAAAGUAUUUGCAAUCUAUCUACAACCUCAUCCCUGCCCCUAUAAUGGAGUAGAUCAUGUGUUUUGUUAAAAUGUUUUUGAAAAAAUUAUUGGUAGCAAUGAAUUGUGCUCUGCCAAUUGCAACACUUAAAAUUUGAUUGUGCUCUGCCAAUUGCAUCACUUGAUUUAAUUGAAUGUAUAUAUACUGUUUGACACACUUUUCAUUUCUAUAUUCCUGGUGCAGAAACAGACCUAACUUUAUGUAUAUUGUUUAUUCUGAUUAUUGUAAAGCUCUAGCUCUAAGCAGUUAGCCAGAAUGUUAACUUUUAAGUAUCAUUAUUACUAGCUGAACCAGAAUUUUCCUUGGGACGAGAUUCUUUCCUGGCAAACAUUAUUAUAUGCUGGUAUAAUAACGACCGAUUCUUCAGACGAAAACAUGACUGGUGAGAGUCGUGUGAGCGGUAGCGUCACGUCGGUGAUCUCUACAACAACUGCUGCACAAUGUGUGUCUACGACAGUAGCUUCCUCUGUCCUGUCGGAGAUUUCAGGAGGAGACUGGACGUGUUCCAGCCCAACACCAGGAACCAUUAUACACCAACAGGGUAUUUUGUGUCAAGAACGAGGUUAACCUUCCACCUAUGACCUAACCAGAUAAACAACAAAUUCAUAGAUUUCAUGUUGAGCUACGUGCCCAAGAAUACAGAAACGACGUUUGCAUCAUUAAUGUGAAAAAGACCUGGGAGAAACUCCUUCAAGCCGCACGUCACGCCUUAAGAGUGAUAGCUAAUAUCGUUAACCCCGCUGAAGUGGUUUCAUCUCAUCGAGAGACUACAGAUAUGGAAACGUGCGAAGUACGAAGUCAGCGAAGUACGAAGUCAGCUAGAAUUGUGUACUGUCGGUACACAAUUCUAGCUGAGAAAGCAGAGUUCAGAGCAGAAUUAAAGCAGAAAGCUGCCAACCAUCACCUCUCAGCAACACAAAACCUCUUCACCGAAGCCCUAUCUACAUACCCACCCGAAAUCAACGUGGAACUACCAAGAGUCCCUCACGAGAAUUGUCCAAAGAUCACGAGCAGAUAAGUCCGGAUCUGCAAACCACUCUGAAGCACCUACCUCACAGACUUCGUCCUACCAGCUACUUGCCUGACUUCACUGAGAGAGGAAGCGCUAGCAGACAAGGAAAGGUGAUCAGGCUGCAGGACCAGCUGCUGGUGCAGAAGGACGAACAACUACAGUUGA
Molecule: long non-coding RNA, 1664 nt
Organism: Bolinopsis microptera
Lineage: Eukaryota; Metazoa; Ctenophora; Tentaculata; Lobata; Bolinopsidae
Exons: 4
Source: RefSeq, a predicted model, not a curated record